UACGGAGGGGACUAGCGUUGUUCGGAAUUACUGGGCGUAAAGCGCACGUAGGCGGUUUUGUAAGUCAGGGGUGAAAUCCCGGGGCUCAACCUCGGAACUGCCUUUGAUACUGCAAAUCUCGAGUCCGGAAGAGGUGAGUGGAAUUCCUAGUGUAGAGGUGAAAUUCGUAGAUAUUAGGAAGAACACCAGUGGCGAAGGCGGCUCACUGGUCCGGUACUGACGCUCAGGGACGAAAGCUAGGGGAGCGAAUGGG
RNAcentral lists this ribosomal RNA (253 nucleotides) under uncultured bacterium. RNAcentral describes it as "partial 16S ribosomal RNA". It matches the Rfam family "Bacterial small subunit ribosomal RNA", at positions 524 to 776 of the family's 1533-position model. The record is from RNAcentral.